CAGCUGCCAAAACAAAGGAAUAGAAAUGGAAGAGUUAGAGGCAGUGUUAUGCUAGAGCUGUCCCUUAGCGAGCUGAUUUUAAAGCUUGAAAUCGGCCAUGGGAUAAAUUCCCAGAAGUGGAAGACAUUGCCAAGUUUUUCUUCAGAAAGAUGGGAUGAAUUCUUGGCCUGAAAAAGGGGAAUCAAAAGACGUGCUUUCCUGUGCUUCAGCUGCAAUGUCUAUUUCUCAAGACGCUGAAAAAGAUGAUUUAGAGUUUUAUGAUUAAUGGAAGGGAGGAAUCUACUCUAAAGAAAUUGGAUAAUACUAUAAAUAAGAAAUAAAAAUUAUUUGACAAAAGCUAUCUUCCCCUUAGGGAUUAUAUGUACUACUGAUUUACCUUACUGUAUCUUAUUCAACAG
RNAcentral lists this long non-coding RNA (398 nucleotides) under Homo sapiens (human). RNAcentral's name for it is "HSALNT0078663". Lineage: Eukaryota; Metazoa; Chordata; Mammalia; Primates; Hominidae. The record is from RNAcentral.